CAUAACCACAUAGCUUACAUCCUUCAUGAUGGCCAGACCCAUCUGGGAAGUUCCAGCCAGCUUCUUCAGCUUUCCCUCGUGCCAUUUAAGUGGGGAAAGCUCCACACUGAAGUACCGAGUUAUCGGGAGCAUGUCAGGAUUCAGUUCAUCUUGUUUAUUGAACUCCUGCUGGAUACCAAAUUCUAGGGUUUUGGUUUUUUGCACUGAAUGUAGUCUAGACUCAUCUUCACGGGCUUGUGUUGCCCCAGGAUACUGUCAAAGGCAGUAUUUGUGUGUUUCUGCAGAGUUUUGCACAGAGUCUGUUCCCAUGCAAACCAAUGAGGGAGAAGUGUCGGAAGAAAGCAGUUCCAAGGUGGAACAGGAGGAUUUUGUAAUGGAAGGGCAUGGCAAGACUCCACCUCCUGGUGAAGAAAGCAAACAAGAGAAGGAGCAAGAAAGGGAAGAACAGUUAAUGGAAGACAAGAAAAGGAAGAAGGAGGAUAAAAAGAAAAAAGAAGCCACUCAGAAGGUCACGGAACAAAAAACCAAAGUGCCCGAAGUGACGAAACCAAGUUUAAGCCAACCAACGGCCGCCAGCCCAAUUGGCAGCUCUCCAUCGCCACCAGUCAAUGGUGGCAACAAUGCCAAAAGGGUGGCAGUGCCGAACGGACAACCGCCAAGCGCCGCCCGCUACAUGCCUCGGGAGGUGCCGCCGCGAUUCCGUUGCCAGCAGGACCACAAAGUGUUACUAAAACGUGGGCAGCCCCCUCCGCCGUCCUGCAUGCUCCUCGGGGGUGGGGCAGGGCCUCCUCCCUCCACAGCACCUGGAGCAAACUCAAACAACGCACAAGUGACAGGAACGCUGCUGCAGGGGGACGGUGGGACUGCACCAGAGUCAACCCUUGGAGGUGCUGCUGCUUCAAAUUAUGCAAAUUCCACUUGGGGCCCGGGAGCCUCCUCCAACAACGGCGCCUCCCCCAACCCAAUUCACAUCCGGGACAAGGUGAUUGUAGACGGGUCUGACAUGGAAGAGUGGCCUUGUAUUGCCAGCAAAGACACUGAGUCUUCUUCCGAAAACACCACCGAUAACAACAGUGCCUCGAACCCUGGCUCUGAGAAGAGCACUCUGCCAGGAAGCACCACUAGUAACAAAGGAAAAGGGAGCCAGUGCCAGUCUGCAAGUUCUGGGAACGAAUGUAAUCUUGGGGUCUGGAAAUCUGACCCUAAGACUAAAUCUGUUCAAUCUUCCAACUCUACUACAGAGAGCAACAAUGGACUAGGAAAUUGGAGGAAUGUGAGUGGUCAGGAUAGAAUUGGACCUGGCUCUGGCUUCAGCAACUUUAACCCAAAUAGCAACCCAUCUGCCUGGCCAGCGCUGGUCCAAGAAGGAAAUUCUAGGAAAGGGGCAUUGGAAACUGAUACUAGUAAUUCCAGUGCACAGGUUAGCACAGUAGGUCAGGCAUCCAGGGAACAGCAGUCAAAGAUGGAAAAUGCGGGUGUUAAUUUUGUUGUCUCUGGCAGAGAACAGGCUCAAAUUCAUAACACUGAUGGACCAAAAAAUGGAAACACUAACUCCUUGAACUUAAGUUCACCAAACCCCAUGGAGAAUAAGGGAAUGCCCUUUGGAAUGGGCUUGGGGAACGCCUCCAGGAGCACUGAUGCCCCUUCACAAAGCACUGGAGAUCGAAAGACUGGGAGUGUUGGAUCUUGGGGUGCAGCUAGGGGGCCUUCUGGAACUGACACAGCCUCUGGACAAAGCAAUUCUGGAAACAAUGGGAACAAUGGAAAGGAUAGAGAGGACUCCUGGAAAGGAGCUUCUGUUCAGAAAUCAUCUGGGUCAAAAAAUGACUCUUGGGACAAUAACAGGUCUACGGGUGGGUCCUGGAACUUUGGCCCUCAGGACUCUAAUGACAACAAAUGGGGUGAAGGGAACAAAAUGACAUCUGGGGUCUCUCAGGGAGAAUGGAAACAGCCGACUGGGUCUGAUGAGUUGAAAAUUGGAGAAUGGAGUGGUCCAAACCAACCAAAUUCUAGCACUGGAGCAUGGGACAAUCAAAAGGGCCACCCCCUCCCUGAAAACCAAGGCAAUGCCCAGGCUCCCUGUUGGGGAAGAUCUUCCAGCUCCACAGGAAGUGAAGUUGGAGGUCAAAGCACUGGAAGCAACCACAAAGCAGGAAGUAGUGACAGUCAUAAUUCUGGCCGUCGGUCAUACCGGCCCACACAUCCUGAUUGUCAGGCUGUCUUACAGACUCUUUUGAGCCGAACUGAUUUGGACCCCAGGGUGCUCUCAAACACUGGCUGGGGCCAAACUCAAAUUAAGCAGGACACAGUGUGGGAUAUUGAAGAGGUGCCAAGGCCUGAGGGGAAAUCUGACAAAGGAACUGAGGGGUGGGAGAGCGCUGCCACACAGACCAAGAACUCAGGGGGCUGGGGAGACGCACCCAGCCAAAGCAAUCAAAUGAAGUCUGGAUGGGGGGAGCUCUCAGCCUCUACAGAGUGGAAAGACCCCAAGAACACAGGAGGCUGGAAUGACUACAAGAACAACAACUCUUCCAACUGGGGAGGCGCACGACCAGAUGAAAAGACUUCUUCCUCUUGGAAUGAGAACUCCAGCAAGGAUCAGGGGUGGGGAGGGGGACGCCAGCCCAAUCAAGGAUGGACUUCUGGGAAGAAUGGUUGGGGAGAGGAAGUUGAUCAAGCGAAAAACAGCAGUUGGGAAAGUUCUGCAAGUAAACCUGUGUCUGGGUGGGGUGAAGGAGGGCAGAAUGAAAUUGGAACUUGGGGGAACAGUGGGAAUGCAAGCCUAGCUUCCAAAGGCGGGUGGGAAGAUUGCAAACGGUCUCCAGCAUGGACUGAGACCGGCAGACAGCCCAGUUCCUGGAAUAAACAGCACCAACAGCAGCAGCCACAGCAGCCGCCGCCACCACAACCAGAGGCUUCUGGUUCCUGGGGAGGCCCACCCCCACCACCUCCAGGCAACGGACGACCUUCCAAUUCCAACUGGAGCAGCGGGCCACAGCCAGUAACCCCUAAGGAUGAGGAACCCAGCGGUUGGGAAGAGCCAUCCCCACAGUCAAUUAGUCGGAAAAUGGACAUCGAUGAUGGCACUUCGGCGUGGGGAGACCCCAACAGUUACAACUACAAGAAUGUGAAUCUGUGGGAUAAGAAUUCCCAAGGGGGCCCAGCACCUCGAGAACCAAACCUGCCUACCCCCAUGACCAGUAAAUCAGCAUCAGUCUGGAGCAAAAGCACACCACCUGCUCCAGAUAAUGGUACUUCAGCUUGGGGUGAGCCAAACGAAAGCAGUCCUGGGUGGGGUGAAAUAGAUGACACAGGAGCAUCGACCACAGGCUGGGGGAACGCACCCUCCAACGCUCCAAAUGCCAUGAAACCUAAUUCCAAAUCUAUGCAAGAUGGCUGGGGGGAGAGUGACGGUCCAGUGACGGGAACUCGCCAUCCCAGCUGGGAAGAGGAGGAGGAUGGAGGAGUCUGGAACACCGCCGGCUCUCAGGGAAGUGCUUCCUCCCACAACUCAGCAAGCUGGGGACAAGGAGGAAAGAAGCAAAUGAAGUGCUCACUGAAAGGAGGAAAUAAUGAUUCAUGGAUGAAUCCUCUUGCCAAACAGUUUUCAAAUAUGGGAUUGCUGAGUCAAACUGAAGAUAAUCCAGGCAGCAAAAUGGAUUUGUCUGUAGGGAGCCUUCCAGAUAAAAAAUUUGACGUGGACAAGCGAGCGAUGAAUCUCGGGGAUUUUAAUGAUAUCAUGAGGAAGGAUCGAUCUGGGUUCCGUCCACCUAAUUCCAAAGACAUGGGAACCACAGACGGUGGGCCUUAUUUCGAGAAGGGUGGCAAUCAUGGUUUGUUUGGAAAUAGCACAGCACAAUCGAGAGGUAUGCACACGCCAGUGCAGCCACUAAAUUCUUCUCCUAAUCUCCGGGCGCAAGUGCCUCCCCAGUUUAUUUCCCCCCAGGUUUCUGCCUCAAUGCUCAAGCAGUUUCCCAACAGUGGCCUGAAUCCAGGUCUUUUCAAUGUGGGGCCCCAGUUAUCUCCUCAACAAAUUGCCAUGCUGAGCCAGCUUCCACAAAUUCCCCAGUUUCAAUUGGCGUGUCAGCUUCUCCUGCAGCAGCAGCAGCAGCAGCAGUUGCUGCAGAACCAGAGGAAGCUCUCGCAGGCUGUGCGCCAGCAGCAAGAGCAGCAGCUGGCUCGGAUGGUGAGCGCCCUGCAGCAGCAGCAGCAGCAGCAGAGGCAGCCUGGCAUGAAGCACUCGCCCUCCCAUCCCGUUGGGCCCAAGCCACAUCUGGACAACAUGGUACCCAGUGCUCUGAAUGUGGGGCUCCCAGACCUUCAAACCAAAGGGCCAAUACCUGGAUAUGGUUCUGGCUUCAGCUCUGGCGGCAUGGACUAUGGCAUGGUUGGUGGGAAGGAGGCUGGAACAGAGUCUCGCUUUAAACAGUGGACCUCCAUGAUGGAGGGACUGCCCUCUGUAGCCACACAGGAAGCCAAUAUGCACAAAAAUGGCGCUAUUGUGGCCCCUGGUAAGACUCGAGGAGGGUCACCAUACAAUCAGUUUGAUAUCAUCCCGAGUGACACACUGGGUGGCCAUACGGGUCCUGCUGGUGAUAGCUGGUUACCUGCCAAAUCUCCACCAACAAAUAAAAUCGGAAGUAAAUCCAGCAAUGCCAGUUGGCCUCCAGAAUUCCAACCAGGAGUGCCAUGGAAAGGUAUCCAAAACAUUGACCCUGAGUCUGACCCCUACGUCACCCCAGGAAGUGUGCUGGGGGGUACAGCCACAUCUCCCAUUGUAGAUACUGACCACCAACUUCUGCGGGAUAACACCACAGGGUCUAAUUCUUCCCUCAACACCUCGCUGCCUUCACCUGGUGCCUGGCCCUACAGUGCCUCUGACAACUCCUUUACCAACGUUCAUAGCACUUCAGCAAAGUUCCCUGAUUACAAAUCAACAUGGUCCCCAGAUCCCAUAGGACACAACCCCACUCAUCUCUCCAACAAGAUGUGGAAAAACCAUAUUUCCUCGAGGAACACUACAGCGCUGCCCCGCCCACCUCCCGGUCUGACCAACCCCAAACCAUCUCCCUGGAGCAGCACAGCACCCCGAUCAGUCAGGGGGUGGGGGACCCAGGACUCACGGCUUGCCUCGGCCUCUACCUGGAGUGAUGGUGGUUCAGUUCGUCCCAGUUACUGGCUGGUUCUUCACAAUCUCACUCCACAGAUUGAUGGGUCAACGUUGAGAACCAUCUGCAUGCAGCAUGGCCCACUGCUGACAUUCCAUCUGAACCUAACCCAGGGCACCGCCCUGAUCCGAUACAGCACCAAACAGGAGGCGGCCAAGGCCCAAACCGCACUGCACAUGUGUGUGUUGGGAAACACUACCAUCCUGGCUGAGUUUGCCACCGAUGAUGAAGUUAGCCGCUUUCUGGCACAGGCUCAGCCGCCUACACCUGCAGCAACCCCAAGUGCACCCGCCGCAGGUUGGCAGUCGCUGGAGACUGGCCAGACCCAGUCGGACCCCGUCGGACCUGCUCUGAAUCUUUUCGGUGGGUCCACAGGGCUCGGGCAGUGGAGCAGCUCGGGCGGUGGCAGCGGGGCCGAUCUUGCUGGCGCUUCAUUGUGGGGGCCCCCAAACUAUUCUUCUAGCUUGUGGGGAGUCCCAGCUGUGGAAGACCCCCAUAGAAUGGGCAGCCCUGCUCCCUUACUACCUGGUGACCUUCUGGGAGGAGGGUCGGAUUCAAUCUGAACUUAGAACUUUCAACUCUGACCUCGUGACCUUUUUUGGAACAGCAGCAGCACUAACUUGACCUUUUCGUUUUUUUUUUCAACUUGCAAUAAAUACAUUUUUAAAAGGAAAAAAGAAAACGGAGAGAGGAAAAAAAAGCCAUCUGAAGUUUCAGAUCUUCUUUCAUGCUUAAGAAGAGAAAGCAGAACAGGUCAGGGGAGUGGAUGUGCAUUUGUGGGGUGGUUGUCUCUCCACUGCCUCCCACACACAGUGGCAGCCGACCCGUGUCCAAACCCUGUUUCGAAGAGAUGCCAUCUAUUCCAGAUCUAGUUCCAGGGUGAGGAGUGUCCAAAUUUCUCUCUUCCAGAAGAUCCAUCCCCUCCAGGCACUCCAGGACGUUUUUUAACCUAAGACCUUGAGCUCUCAACCUUUCUUGCUUCACCCACAGGCUCACUUUUUGAGUAACCGAGUAGCAUUCUGUGGUUCAUAAAGGGACUCAUCCCUGGCAUUUCAAUUUGGCACUGUAGAAUUCAUAGACUUAUCACUUUGCAAUGCGUUAGAAAUGUAUUGAUUUCUUACUUAGAAGGAAAUUCAUCUGAGACGUGCAAACAACCUUCCUGAAAGGUGUGGGCACCCUCAGGCAUUCCUCUGAAUGCCUUUCUACGUGAAGCUUGAAGCUGACAUUAGGUAGAGGGAAAUAACGUUUAACGAAUGCUGCUUGUAGAUCUGUCAGCUACAGCUCUCCUAGAUUUGGCGACCCUACAAGGCAGGGUCAGAAUAGAUCGUUUUGAACAGCUUCUUCACAAACGCCUCUCCCUACCCCCCCCACCCAGCAUCUUAAAGCUAAACCCUGUAUCUGUUUAAAGGCCCUUUUUAGUUUGAGCUCACCAAUCUUGUAUAGUGACGACUUCCUUCAAGGGGAAGAACCUUGAGAAUAAAUGCACACCUAUUCACCACCCACCUUCUGAUUUGAGACGCUAUCCACCUUUGGAUUUUAUUUCUGUUGUUUGUUUGGAGGCCUCUUUUCUGUUGGUCUCCUUCCUCCAGUCCCCCAUAAGUUCUUACUGCCCUUAUAUCCAUCCACAAUGCUCCCAAAGGGCUUUGCUGAUCUCUGCACUUCUUUCCUGGGACCCUCCCUCACCACCACCCUUUGCACACACCAGUGACCAAAGUGUGUCCAGUGAUCUCACAGAAGUCGUCAAAAAUGAUGCCUGCACCACGAAUGUGCUCACAGAGACACGUGCACAAGAUUCUGCACCCUUGGCCUUAACCUCUGUAUGACUUAAGGUGCAGGAACAUUUUUAACAGGUUAUUUAAAAAAAAAAAAAAUGCUUCUGGGAGGGGAAAAAAAGGCAGACAAAACAGCUCAAUUGUGCCCACUCCUAACUCUACUAUUUGCCUACAACUGAAUUCUGUGCCCACCCCACCCAUCCCUGUUUUGAGUAACCAAAAAGAGACAACAAAAGCAACCUGAGGAGAGGUUUCUGGACUAUUUUAUCUUUCUCCAUUUAGCUGGAGAUAUAAAUGCUGCUUUGGGUUCCAUAAUCCUAGGGGCUGUGUUUACAUAGUAAAAUAUAUCCUACCAAAUCAGGAAACAAGCAUGGGGAUCUCUGCAGUGAGAGAGAGCUAAUUAGGUCGCCGAUGGUGAACAAGAGAAGUGCGGGGGUCCGGGGGUGGGGGGCACAGGAGGGAAGACGGAGAAGUGCUCCCCUCCUCCCUUCACUUCUCUCCUUGGCCCCUUUCAACAGAAGGCACAGAGAAAAGCAUCAGAAAGAGGCUGGAGUUUUAAAAGGCAGCUUUCCAACUUUGCACACAAACAGGUUAACAGGAAGGUACAGCAAAAAUCCUCUCAUCUGAAACAGCAGAAACAAAACCUACCAACCUGACUCCAUAGUUGCACAUAGUGACGCUCUCUGCAAGUUACCUAGAAGUGUUUUGUUUUUCUUAUACUUGAAAUAGCUUUUACGAUGUUACUUUGGCGGCUUUCUUUUCUCUCUCCUGGCGGGCAACAGAGGAAGCGGAUGAUGGCAUCCAAGGAAGCGUGAGGGGAGAAAAGGAAGGAUAUGGCAUUGUCUUUUUUGUGUGUGUUUCCUUAAACAUAUAGAGGUUUAAUUGAACUCCCAUGUGUUGAAAUUGCUCCUCAUAUUACUGGUUUUACAUGGACACAGAAACUAGGCACUUUAGAGGUGCACUUGCAUGGCAGGCUGGGCCCCCCUUUUCUCUAUUUUAUUUUACUUUUUUAGUAUAGUGGUACUUAAAAUCACUGGUUCACUUAAAGAAAAAAACAAACAAUAAAAUGUUAAACUCUACUAAUGUACAAAUAAGCUGAAAAGUUGCAUUUUAUGUGUAUUUUUCGCCAUAGCAGGUACUGUAUUUCUCAUGCUGGAUUUAAAAAAAAAAAGAAAAAACCAACAAAAAAAAAAA
Molecule: non-coding RNA, 8134 nt
Organism: Callorhinus ursinus (northern fur seal)
Lineage: Eukaryota; Metazoa; Chordata; Mammalia; Carnivora; Otariidae
Source: RefSeq, a predicted model, not a curated record